GAUGAACGCUGGCGGCGUGCCUAACACAUGCAAGUCGAGCGAGGGUUUGCUCAGUAUUGAGUAUUCUAAAACUAGAAUGUUCAAUUCUGAGCAAAACCAAGCGGCGGACGGGUGAGUAACGCGUGGGUAACCUGCCCUAUACACAUGGAUAACAUACUGAAAAGUUUACUAAUACAUGAUGAUAUAUAUUUGUGGCAUCGCAGAUAUAUCAAAGUGUUAGCGGUAUAGGAUGGACCCGCGUCUGAUUAGCUAGUUGGUGAGAUAACUGCCCACCAAGGCGACGAUCAGUAGCCGACCUGAGAGGGUGAUCGGCCACAUUGGAACUGAGACACGGUCCAAACUCCUACGGGAGGCAGCAGUGGGGAAUAUUGCACAAUGGGCGAAAGCCUGAUGCAGCAACGCCGCGUGAACGAUGAAGGUCUUCGGAUCGUAAAGUUCUGUUGCAGGGGAAGAUAAUGACGGUACCCUGUGAGGAAGCCCCGGCUAACUACGUGCCAGCAGCCGCGGUAAUACGUAGGGGGCUAGCGUUAUCCGGAUUUACUGGGCGUAAAGGGUGCGUAGGUGGUCCUUCAAGUCGGUGGUUAAAGGCUACGGCUCAACCGUAGUAAGCCGCCGAAACUGGAGAACUUGAGUGCAGGAGAGGAAAGUGGAAUUCCCAGUGUAGCGGUGAAAUGCGUAGAUAUUGGGAGGAACACCAGUAGCGAAGGCGGCUUUCUGGACUGCAACUGACACUGAGGCACGAAAGCGUGGGUAGCAAACAGG
Molecule: ribosomal RNA, 762 nt
Filed under: uncultured Peptostreptococcus sp.
Lineage: Bacteria; Bacillati; Bacillota; Clostridia; Peptostreptococcales; Peptostreptococcaceae
Description: bacterial SSU rRNA
Rfam family: Bacterial small subunit ribosomal RNA
Source: RNAcentral